GCCUCCGAGGAGGCAGAAGAACUCACUUUAGAGUGUGGCUGAGGGAUAAGUGUAGAAGCUUCUCUUGCUGCUGCAGUGCUCCCAGGAGAUCUCAGUCAGGAUACUUGGAGGAGGUCUCCAGUCUGUACUCUGACUCCCUGUCUGAGGGAGAGUGGCCACAGGAGAAGAAAUUGUGGGAGCAGCUGAGAUCCAGGUGGAGGCUGUUGUCCCUGGACACAUCCUCAGCAGGCUCACUGGAGGGCCAGUUAGAGCCUCCUGCCCAGUCAGCAGACACUGUCCUCCCCCAGGGCUGUGUGGAGCUGCUGGUGGGGGGCAGCCCCCUGGACAGUGACAUCCUCCUCCAUGGGCCCCCCAGUAAUCUGCAUGUUCUGGACACACAACCUGCAGGCCCUUGCGAUGGUGAGGGGGUGCCAUCAGCCCCCUGUCAUUAGGAGGUCCAGGACCCAAAGCCCCCUGCAGGUGCUGAGCCUUCCCAGCUGUGGAGCCAGGACCCUCAGCCAGGACUGCAGGGACCCUGGAGCCACAGUCCACAGAGGUCUCUCUGGGCCAGAGCUGGGUGCUCAGAGCUGCACCCUCAGAUCCAGCAGUGGAGAAGGCCCUGUGCUCUGGUCCCACCGCUGAGCUGGCCCUCCCCUCCCUGGUGGAGACCUACAUCGCUUUCUUGAUCUCCUGCCUAUCCAUGUGCCCUUUCUUCUACAGUUAUAUUGCUCUACUUUUACUUCACUGAAAUAAAGUGUUUGUUGUGAGUUGGUU
This is a long non-coding RNA of Erinaceus europaeus (western European hedgehog), 753 nucleotides long. RefSeq lists it as uncharacterized. NCBI's taxonomy places the organism in Eukaryota, Metazoa, Chordata, Mammalia, Eulipotyphla, Erinaceidae. The record is from RefSeq and is a predicted model, not a curated record. The transcript is spliced from 3 exons.